CCUACGGGAGGCAGCAGUGGGGAAUAUUGCACAAUGGGGGAAACCCUGAUGCAGCGACGCCGCGUGAGCGAUGAAGUAUUUCGGUAUGUAAAGCUCUAUCAGCAGGGAAGAAGAUGACGGUACCUGACUAAGAAGCCCCGGCUAACUACGUGCCAGCAGCCGCGGUAAUACGUAGGGGGCAAGCGUUAUCCGGAUUUACUGGGUGUAAAGGGAGCGUAGAUGGCGGUGCAAGACAGAUGGGAAAGCUCGGGGCUCAACCCCGGGACGGCAUUUGGAACUGUAUGGCUGGAGUGUCUGAGAGGCAGGCAGAAUUCCUAGUGUAGCGGUGAAAUGCGUAGAUAUUAGGAGGAACACCGGUGGCGAAGGCGGCCUGCUGGACGAUGACUGACGUUGAGGCUCGAAAGCGUGGGGAGCAAACAGGAUUAGAUACCCGUGUAGUC
This 440-nucleotide ribosomal RNA is filed under the name uncultured bacterium. RNAcentral describes it as "partial 16S ribosomal RNA". It matches the Rfam family "Bacterial small subunit ribosomal RNA", at positions 338 to 795 of the family's 1533-position model. The record is from RNAcentral.